CAGCCGCCGCGGUAAUACCGGCGGCCCGAGUGGCGGUCACUAUUAUUGGGCUUAAAGCGUCCGUAGCCGGGGUGGGAAGUCCUCCGGGAAAUCUGGCCGCUUAACGGUCAGAAUGCCGGAGGAUACUCCCAGCCUAGGGAGCGGGAGAGGCCGAGGGGAUUCCCGGAGUAGGGGUGAAAUCCUAUAAUCCCGGGAGGACCACCUGUGGCGAAGGCGCUCGGCUGGAACGCGUCCGACGGUGAGGGACGAAGGCCAGGGGAGCAAACCGGAUUAGAUACCCGGGUAGUCCUGGCUGUAAACGAUGCGGACUUUGUGUCGGACAAGCUAUGAGCUUGUCCGGUGCCGGAGGGAAACCGUUAAGUCCGCCGCCUGGGGAGUACGGCCGCAAGGCUGAAACUUAAAGGGAUUGGCGGG
This 414-nucleotide ribosomal RNA is filed under the name uncultured microorganism. RNAcentral describes it as "bacterial SSU rRNA". It matches the Rfam family "Archaeal small subunit ribosomal RNA", at positions 459 to 872 of the family's 1478-position model. The record is from RNAcentral.